Molecule: long non-coding RNA, 667 nt
Filed under: Calidris pugnax (ruff)
Lineage: Eukaryota; Metazoa; Chordata; Aves; Charadriiformes; Scolopacidae
Description: lncRNA (ENSCPUG00000019918.1)
Source: RNAcentral
CAGGGAGGGUGGUUUUGGGGGCAGGAAGGCUGUGGGGAGGGUAUGGCUGAGUGGAUGGAGCAGCCUUAGUCACCGGGAGCAGCUCAGCUACGGGCGAUAACCCCAGGAGGUGGUAGGUGUCUGCUUGUGCUAACUCUUGUGCAACUGGCCUGGCCAAACGGGUGCCUUUCAGGCUGCCCUUGACCAAACUGUAUCCGGUUUAUGGGCAAAAGAGGAAAACAAACCAAAAAAAAUUAAAAAAAAAAAUCAAAUCUCGUGUACCUCGCACAUGGCCUCCUGAGCUGUGCUCUUGGCUCCCAGUGGUGGGUUUUGAACUUGGUAGGUUGUUGAGCCUUUGUGUGCUUUGGUAUCUCCAUCUAUGAACUAGAGAUAACAGUUGGCUUCAUGCAGGGAUUAAUUAUCGCAUCUUGUAGUCACGUAUUUGUUUAUUUGUUUUUACUGUAGAUUACAGCUGGAGGAAUUCUAAACAGUCCACCUCUCCUUGUCAUGGUGUUUAAGCGCAUUGUGCUCCUGUCUGAACAGAGGAAAUCACUGAGUCUUUUCUCUCGCACGCUAAAGCAUACCUCGGGUAUCCUGCUCUUCCAUCAGUCUCAAACCUCGUCGCUGCUCCUUGUCUUCAGCUGAAAAUGGACUGACACCAUUUGUGUGUCAGUCCUGAAUGUCCUGA